Molecule: ribosomal RNA, 328 nt
Filed under: uncultured eukaryote
Lineage: Eukaryota
Description: partial 18S ribosomal RNA
Rfam family: Eukaryotic small subunit ribosomal RNA
Source: RNAcentral
CCCUUAGAUGUCCUGGGCCGCACGCGUGCUACACUGAUGCAUACAGCGAGUACUUUCCAGCUCCGCGAGGCAGCUGGUAAUCAGCAAUAUGCAUCGUGCUGGGGAUAGAUCUUUGGAAUUAUAGAUCUUGAACGAGGAAUUCCUAGUAAGCGCAAGUCAUUAGCUUGCGCUGAUUACGUCCCUGCCCUUUGUACACACCGCCCGUCGCUCCUACCGAUUGAAUGAUCCGAUGAAUACCAUGGAUUGAGAGUUCGAAUAGGUUCGCCUAUUUCAGCUUCUCGAGAAGUGGAGUAAAUCUUAUCAUUUAGAGGAAGGAGAAGUCGUAACA